RNAcentral lists this ribosomal RNA (245 nucleotides) under uncultured Anaerolineaceae bacterium. RNAcentral describes it as "partial 16S ribosomal RNA". It matches the Rfam family "Bacterial small subunit ribosomal RNA", at positions 524 to 768 of the family's 1533-position model. Lineage: Bacteria; Bacillati; Chloroflexota; Anaerolineae; Anaerolineales; Anaerolineaceae. The record is from RNAcentral.
AACGUAGGAGGCGAGCGUUAUCCGGAUUUACUGGGCGUAAAGCGCGUGCAGGCGGUUUCGUAAGUCGGACGUGAAAUCUCUCGGCUUAACCGGGUGGUGUCGUUCGAAACUGCGAGGCUUGAGGUCGGGAGAGGGAAGCGGAAUUCCCGGUGUAGUGGUGGAAUGCGUAGAUAUCGGGAGGAACACCUGUGGCGAAGGCGGCUUCCUGGCCCGCACCUGACGCUAAGACGCGAAAGCGUGGGGAG